GACGAACGCUGGCGGCGUGCCUAAUACAUGCAAGUCGAACGAACCGCGACUAGGUGCUUGCACUUGGUCAAGGUGAGUGGCGAACGGGUGAGUAACACGUGGGUAACCUACCUCAUAGUGGGGGAUAACAGUCGGAAACGACUGCUAAUACCGCAUAGGACAUAGGAUCACAUGAUCCAGUGAGGAAAGGUGGCGCAAGCUAUCGCUAAGAGAUGGACCCGCGGUGCAUUAGCUAGUUGGUAGGGUAAAGGCCUACCAAGGCGAUGAUGCAUAGCCGACCUGAGAGGGUGAUCGGCCACAUUGGGACUGAGACACGGCCCAAACUCCUACGGGAGGCAGCAGUAGGGAAUCUUCCGCAAUGGACGCAAGUCUGACGGAGCAACGCCGCGUGAGUGAAGAAGGUCUUCGGAUCGUAAAGCUCUGUUGUUAGAGAAGAACAGCGAAUAGAGUAACUGUUAUGCGUGUGACGGUAUCUAACCAGAAAGCCACGGCUAACUACGUG
RNAcentral lists this ribosomal RNA (502 nucleotides) under uncultured bacterium. RNAcentral describes it as "partial 16S ribosomal RNA". It matches the Rfam family "Bacterial small subunit ribosomal RNA", at positions 28 to 507 of the family's 1533-position model. The record is from RNAcentral.